This 253-nucleotide ribosomal RNA is filed under the name uncultured bacterium. RNAcentral's name for it is "partial 16S ribosomal RNA". It matches the Rfam family "Bacterial small subunit ribosomal RNA", at positions 524 to 776 of the family's 1533-position model. The record is from RNAcentral.
UACAGAGGUCUCAAGCGUUGUUCGGAUUCAUUGGGCGUAAAGGGUGUGUAGGCGGCGCGGUAAGUCGGGUGUGAAAUCUCGGAGCUUAACUCCGAAACUGCAUUCGAUUCUGCCGUGCUUGAGGACUGGAGAGGAGACUGGAAUUUACGGUGUAGCGGUGAAAUGCGUAGAUAUCGUAAGGAAGACCAGUGGCGAAGGCGGGUCUCUGGACAGUUCCUGACGCUGAGGCACGAAGGUCAGGGGAGCAAACGGG